Molecule: long non-coding RNA, 9209 nt
Organism: Dermochelys coriacea (leatherback sea turtle)
Lineage: Eukaryota; Metazoa; Chordata; Testudines; Dermochelyidae
Exons: 6
Source: RefSeq, a predicted model, not a curated record
UCUGUUCCACUCUAAAAAGCAAAGGCUGCUUGCCACUUCCCAUGCAUAUAAAAAACCCACGUCAAACUGUUGGACAAAAACUGCAACUAAAUCUAUGGGUUCUUCUUGUCCCCCCCUCAGCUUGCUCAGAUCGAGCUGCUGAGGACAAUCGAAUGCGCCAUUGCUAACAAGUCGAUCCCCCCCCCCCCCCCGCUUUCUCUGUGCAUGAAAGAGACAUGGCAUGGCGAGUGGUUGCUGCUGUUUUAAUAGAGAAAAUGCUGGCGGAAGGUGAACGUACCGCGCACAGGGUAAGGUUCUUCAUAGUAUUGUGGUGAAACUUCAUUAUGUUAAAGGAGCCUUGAAGAUCAUCUGUCUUUGCAAAUAAGAAAAAUGGUUCCAUUCUCUUCUCCAUAUACGGGACAGUUACACUCAUAUUCACCUUGAAAUGAACAGGCUUCAUUAUGGGGCUAUAGGGUUUCCAUAGUAAGUUAAAAAGGCUAUGUAAUCUGGGGCACCACAAAGCAUACCUUGAUGUUUUUAACUUAUGGUGCAUUUUUCCUAACAUCUGGCAAGUGGAGUGGUACAGAUAAGUCUGCAACACAUCAUGGGGAUCUUUGUGUAAACUGAGGUGAGUGUUAGAUUAUGCCUUGCAUUGUACCACCUUUGAUCUAUGCAUAUUUUCCUAUUUGAUCUCGGCACAGCACAUUUAGCCAUGUACUAAGGAGUUCUUUCCCCUUUGUCUUUCAAAUGCUAUUGCAUUGGACAUUCUCUAUCUUUUCAAAUGUAUGUUUAAGGUUGAAUAUAUGUAAUGUUCCCUUAUUCUGCUAUUGUUCACUUACAAGAUAAGUUUUAUAUACUGUAAAUUUUAUGUUGUACCAAAAAUAUAUUAUCCUGCAAGCAAAUUGAGUCUAAUGUUCUCAAUGUGCCUGUAAUUCUUUUGCAAUUGAGUGAAGUGUGAAAAUUCAUUUGAUUGCUCUUACUGAAAGAUAGGAGGGGUGGGAGAUGGAAAUUGUUUUACUUCUGCCAAGUGAGCACGAGAAGUACGGAUUAUGCAUGUCACUGUUGGAGGGAGGAGGGAGGAAACGUGCUUCAAAAAUGCAUCACCAAAUUCAAGGGAAAAGAAAAGGACUCAGGACAAAUAUUUGUUUUUCUCCAGCAUUUAUUCAGUAAAUAUCCAUUAACACAGAACAAGUUAAUCAAAAUAAACAAAGAGCUAAUUAAGGUUUGAGCUAGUAAAAAAAUAGGUUUGGCUUCCAGGCCACAAACAUCUCAAAAUCAGAGAUUUCCAUGGCUGCUCACAGACUUCUGUAGGAUAAAAGCCAACAGUGAUUUUUCUGAAAUGGACCCAAAAAUAAAGCUUCACUUUUGCUCUUUGCUUGAAAACACUGCUGCACUAAAAAACAAACAAACAAAAAAAAACUAGAUAGCAGAUUUCAUAGUAAGCAGUUGGGCCUGGUCAGGCUUCCAACAAAAUAUAUGAAUUGCAGGAGAUGGUACUGUUGAUUUGGUAAAUGGUAGUUUUCCUUCUCAGUCAGUACUUUAGCAUGGCACUAAAGGCACUGUGCUUCUAGAGGUGUCCUCUGUCAGAUGAGGGUAAUAACCAAGCUCCUGACCACUUGUAAUUAUGUAAAUGUCCCAUGGCACUUUUCACAAGAGGAGUAUUAAUCCUGUUAUCUUAAUCAAAUUUCACCUUGAGUUAUCACAUUCUGUCUCGGGAUAGACAGGAGCAGGUUGGAGGGGACAAAGCAGGAGAGGUCAUGCUUGUGGGGAAUGGGCAGAAGAGUCCAUGUCCACUAGAACACUAUCCUGUCUAGAGACUGGGAUUGAACCCAAGAUUCCUGAAUCUCACCAUUCCUCUGAUGUUAGCAUAUAUUUCUGAAACCCACUGGGAAAGUAUCUCAUCCCCGUCUAGUGCUGGUCCACAUAGAGUAACUGAUAGUAUUAGUAGGCUGUUCUCCUUUGUUAGAUCAAGUGGCAGAGGUCUGUGAGGUGGUGUUAUGGAGCAUUGGUGGUCUGGCCUAGUGGUCAGAGCAGGAGUCAUGUCUAGUGGGCAAAGCAGCACUCAGGUUGGGGAAUGGAGUUGAAGGUCAGUACCAGAGUCAACUGCCAACUACCAGAGGCAGGGUCAAGCCAGAAUCAGAGCCAGGAAUCGAAGGUUAGGGUCAGAGUCAGGAUCAGAUACCGAAUUUCGGAGUCAGAAGUCAGAGCUGGGAGUCAAAGGCAGGACUAGUAACUGAUGGCCGGAAAUGGGGCAUAAGAGCAGGAACUGGAGGAGAGGCAGGUAGCAGGCAUGGAGCAGGAGCGCAAUGGGAACUAAGAGCACAGGCAGGGGCAAGGCAGGAGCCAGAAGUGGAGCAAGAAUGAGGAACAGGGUUGGAUACAGAGUGCAGGAAUCAGGCGCAAGCAGGGUCCAAUGCAGCAGCAGCAACAGUGAGUCACCUGGUUGCUCAGAUAACUUCUUUGCCUCCUUCUGGCUUAAAUAGCAUGGUUGGGACAAUUGGUGGAGCCAGGCAAUCCUCUAACCAAGGAUCCGCAGGGCGAUGCCUUGGCUGAGGCUACCCUUGCUAGCUCUUCAGCCCACCAAGCUGACACCCAAGUCUGAUGAAGACAGGAUGUGUUAGCUGUCUGGGAACUCACAUGCCAGAGACAUCAGAGGUGGAUCUAAAGGUUCCAGCCCAGCUGAGGAAACGUGUGUGUUGAUGUGAUGCCACAUGAUGUAAUUUGUUUUUUCAAUUUUUGUCUCUUUAAAAACAAGGAAAUUACAUACAAGACAGCUACAUUAAAAGAACGUUAUUAAGGUUGCAAAGCUAAACCCUCAAAUUAGGAAAUGCCAGCGUUAAGGCUGUCUGUGCAGCCAUCAUUUGGCCCCUUUGUGUGUAUCCAUUAUGAUACAGUCUUCAAUUACAUGAUCAUAUACUAUUUAUUCUACAAGAUUCCUGCCUCAUUCUAUGCACGGGAUGGACCUGCAGUGGGGUGAAUCAGAGAUGUGUAAUGAAGGAGAUUAUCGUCUGUAGGACAGCUGCCUCAUUUGUUGUAGAAGUUCAAAGGUAAAUGUCUUUAAAGGGGUUCUGCUCCUCUUCCCAGCUGGACAAAUAUGUACUCCCUGCACCACCAAAGAGUCUUUGAACAAGAAAGCAGCUACCUUCUUUUUCGAGUGUCAGCCUGCUGGAAAGUCCUAUAAAGUGCAGUGCUGUGCUAUCACUCUAAGGAGUGUUGCAUGUGGAUACAGCACCUAAGGAAACUGAAGCCUUGAAAGCAUACCAUCUCUCUAGGCCCCCAUCUCAGAUUGCAUAGGAGCCAUUCUCACCUCUGUCUAGUGGGUAUCUGUGGCCCAAAGCACAUCAGCAUGCCAGAGUGGUUACCAGUCCUUCAUGUAGACUAAGUCUGUCCAAUAGUAUCACAGCAGGUCCUCAAGACCACCUUAGACAGCCAGAUCCAUCAGAAGUAGGCCUCUGGCAGCCUGCCUCCUCUUCUUCCAGGACAAGGCAAUGGUGGACAUCUCCAUCACACUGAGGGAAGGAAGCAGUGGCAAGGUACAUGCAGUAAUAAUCAUAUUUUUACAAAAGUCAAUAAACAAGAUUUUUAAAAAUUAGGCCCCAGUCUUGCAUUGUCAUCUGCCCUGGGCCUGGGUGAAAGCAAUUGAAGGAUUGGGGUCCUACAGAAGAAAAUGCCAGAGAAGAGUGGUAGUUGAGAAAAAGGAGAUGGAGUUUGUUGUUUACUCCAAUAUUAAAUGGUCCAUUUCCCGGAUACAAGCUCAUAAAAAGAGGAGUUCCUUGUGAUUACUUAGUAAUUCAAACCUUACAACCCUCCUCAGAACACAUGGAGGCAAGAAUUGCAGUGUGGACAGGGCUUUCCAAGGUUUGCUGUAUAAUGUUUAUCAGUCUCCCAAUUGAUCCCAUAAACCAACAUCAACAAGCUAAGGGCUGCGGAGUGAUUACCUUUACAUGAGAAAAACAAAGAUUCCAUGUAUUCAUGGUUCAGUGCAGGUCAGUGUAAACUAUAUGAAGAAUCAUGGGCUAUCAUCUUACUUUGUCUCUUGAUUUCAUGCAUUGCAAAGUAUACGAGAACUGAUUCCUUUGGUUGAUUUGAGAUGGGUUGUUGGACCUGGUGGUAUACUCUAUGAAUAAUGAGCCUGCGGGGUGGAUAAAAAUGGAUGAUUUUUAAAAAAUUGAUUUUUUUAAAAAACUGGAUUGUUUUAUUUUAAUUAAAUACAGGGUUAUUUUUUAAAAGUAAAUUUUAAAUUAUGGCAACCUAUGUUAAGGCCUAAAUUUCAUCCGUUAAAAUGAUUUAAAAUUAAAUUAAAAUAAAACAAAAAUAUUAAUCAGUAUGUUUUCUGCUGAAGUUUUAAAGAAAGUCAAACACUGAACUGGUGGACAUCACUGCCUGAACACCUGUUACCAGAGUUUGUUGAACUGCUAAACCAGCUUUUGUCAGCACUAGCCUCCUGCAGAUGGAGAGAGAAUAUUUUCUUCAUUUCAGUUUAAUCCACUAGUUCAGUUCAAUGACUAGAUCAUGCAAAGUUAAGAAACCAAUAAGGAGCUGAAAAUACAGGAGAGUUGUUUUCUUCUUCUAGUCUAUAAAUAAAAACUAGGUGUGAGAGAAUGAUCUCUAAUAGUUCUAAAAUCUUGAAGGACAAUGGUGACCAUAAAGAAUCAGUUCAAUUCACUAGCUACAGAUAAUACUUUGUUUAAUAAAUCAGUUAGUUUUAAAUGCAAACACGUUUUGAUAAACUUUUUUCCUUAUGUGUCCAGCACAUGUAAAAUAAUUUUAUUUAACUAAUAAAAAAGCAGUUUUAAAGUGCUGCAUAUGUGCAUUUUUAACUAAAUUUGAAUUUCCAAAUAAAACCUGAUACAAAUCACAAGUAAAAAGUGACUCAUUAUCUAGUAAAAAAAAUAUGCUUCAUUCACCAUUUUCAAACAUAAUAAAAAAUGUAAACAUUAAGGAUCUGAAUAAAUGUAAAUUAGGCUAUGUAAUUGCUUAAAUAAAUGUGUAUUGUUAUAGUGUACCCUCCUGGUUAACAAAAAGAAGCACCACAUUUAGUGUAAAGGCUAUAGUUAGUUAUAAAUCAACAUGUUUUAAUGGUUACCAACCAAUCAGAAUCAGCCUUUCCUUAGGAAAAUAACUGAAAAGUACAAAUGCAAAACAAGAUUAAAAUUGAUGAUUUUAAUCAAAAUUCCCUGCUUACUGAUUUAAAUCAUGAUUAAAAUCAGUGCUUUAAAUUGGUUGAUUUAACGCAAUCCUUCCUCUAUACCCCAUGUGCUAUUGCUUAUUUAUUGUUUGUUGCAUUCUGGUUGGCUCUGAAGAUCUGUUGUAUGCUUCAGUCAAUUAGAGGAGACAAUAUCUGCAUAAAUACAAGUUUUUAAAAGUAUUUUUAUAAAUAAGCCAAUUCCUGACUGAAUAAAGUUUUUGCUUUGUUUUUAUUUUUACUCUUUACUUUUAACACUACUGUCAAAAGUAAAACAUUGAGCCAUCAAUCAGAUCUAGCACAGCUUCCGUUUGGUAUAAGCCACAUGGUUUUAGUCAUCACCAUCCUUUGCCUAAGCCCUGAAACUCAAAAUAUGAUAUUGGGUGAAAUCGUAGUCAAUUGUCAAUAUUUCCCUUUUUAACUGUGCAUGAAAAAGUCAAAUUAGUUUUUAAAACAAUGAGAAGCAAAUACUCAGAUGUCAGGGUUACACCGUAUUUUCUAGAAGCUAGGCAUCGGUCCUGGGAGGUGUUGAAUUUCCUCAUCCCCCCAAGUUCAUUGGGGGUUGAGGGAACUCAGAUUCUCAGAAGAUUAAGCCCAUAAUGCAGACAGAAAUGAUUUGUCUUUCACAAAGUCUUUCAGUUAUUAUAGCUUUUGUCACAUCCAGGAGGACAGAAAAGUCCCACAGAGCUAAUGUAUGUUUGAACAUGUUGACAUAGCAUGGCUGAUGUGGCAUACCACUGGGAUGAUAUUUAAUUCACUGAUAUGUGCUAAGUAAAUAUGUGGCUAGAUAAAACCAUUUUGUUCCUCUCUUAUAUUAAGUAUGAGCAUCUAAUGGUAAAAAGCUACCUAGGGAAUAGAACAUCACCCGGUAUUUGUUUUAUAAAACUGUGUAAAGGUUUGCCAAAGCUGUCACAGUAUGGUAGCUGUGGCCAUUUAUUUUUCCAGAUCCUAAGUUUGAGGGCUUUUGCUUGCGUUGGAAUCUUUUUUUUAAAACAGAGAUUAAUAAAUUUUAAAAUAUUGAGGCUGCUGAACAGAUUUGUUGAUCUAGUAAUGAUACAUUACUGGCUAAAGGCCAAAUUCUGCUCCCGGACACACCCAAACCUGCAUCCCAUCAUAUGUAACCUCAUCAUUAAAUCCUACGGAGGCACAUUUUGACUAAUUCUAAAGACAAAACACAGAAGUGGCUAUUGUGAUAGCUAAACCUGUUUGAAGUUAGCAGUCUGCCUGUGUCAUACCAAGUCAGAAAUUAUCAGCUGCUCCAUAAUGAGAUCAUCCUUUUUUCAUAAAAGAGUGCUGAAUUUUGUGGGAGAGCAAGUAAUAAGGUAAUAUAGGCUCUUCUGACACAAGUAUUUGUUUCUAUACAUGGUGCUAGUUGAACCAGACCAAGCCUCCAGUGCUGCAGUGUGGGUGGACCCCAUCCCCUGCCUGCACCUGAAAGGAGUGUCAUUUAUGGUUCUGCCCACAUGGAACUCCUUGCAGUAUUGGGGCCCAACUAAGUCCCUUAAUCCCCCGGAAACCCCGAUCUAAGGCAGUUACCCCCAAUUUCCAAGCCAUUUUUCUCCAGUUACCUACUCACACAUUAGGGUCUUGCAUUCUUUAGAAGAUGGACCAUUGAGGCAGUAAUGAUAAUUAAUAAGUGUCUUUUAAAUGCUUAACAACCUAGCACAGAUACCACCUUUCACAAACUAGGUUGUCUGGCUCAAUCUAGUUUCAGUCAGGCCUCUUGUUAAAACAUAUGAGCAGUUUAGUUUGUUCCUUUUUGUCAUGAACUAGAAAUUAUGGACAAAGAAUGUCACACAAGGCUUUAAAGAUCAUCAUCAACAGUUUGAUUUGCAACUGGAAACAAACAGGAAGCCAGAGUAGUGAUUUGACCACAGGUGUUAAGCAUUCACACUGGCCCAUACUGUGCUAGAGGGAGUAAUAGACUAAUCUUGGUCUGAUUUUUUUAAAAGUUAUUUCUAAUGUUAAGUGUCUUGACCUCCGCUAGGAAAUGCUAACUGUGGGUGAGAUUCUGCAUGGCCCUCACAUUGCUGAACACUGUAAGAGGAGUAUGCAAAGAGAGCCUUUACUUCCCCUUGAAUGUCUAUGUAAAGGCCAGGCAAAAUUGCAGUCUCUGUGCUCUUUGGAGAAGCCAAAAAGGGUAAGGAGGAAGCAGGGCUAAAACUAGCUUUCAUACAAAAGCCUGCAAAUUAGGACCAGCAAGAAGAGUAGAGCAGGUGAAGGGGUUUAGUGGUUUGCAUGCUUCCCUGCAGGCAUCCUGGGAUAGGAUGUGGACUGUCAUAAAAGCACCACCAUUGGAUCCAAUCCUGAAAGAUGCUGAAUGCCCCUUAACUCUUUUCAGUAGGAAUGCUCAGCAUGUCACAAGACUGGGCCCUCUAUCAUCAGGGCACGGGGCCAAUCAAGCAACCUUGUGCAGUACUAACCGCCUGUAGGUAAUAAACCUACAGUAUGGGAACUUCUCCCAGGGGACUGAAGAAGCACUUACAAAAGAAAUUGGGGGUGACAGCAUGAGCUCUGCUGGAGGAUAAGAGGGAACUGUACUGGGGAAGGGAAUUCUGAUGCCAUGAGCUCAGGGCACCAAGCUGGCAGGCAAUGAAACCAGCCUUUUCUCUGAGCCUUCUCUUACUCCUCCCACUCACACUGCAGUUGAGCCAUUCCCACCAGCCUUUGAAUUCUUUCCCAUUGGAAGACAGCAACAACCAGAGCUUUUCUUUUGCUUUUCUGCUCCUUGUACUGCCUCUAAUGAUGAGCUAGGCCCUCCCUUAUUCAGGGGAGCAAUCCUCAUUCAUGUGAGUGGUCCUGUGAUUAAUGAUUGCAGAAUCAGGUCCCUAGUUAGAAAUUUUAUGGAGAGAUUAAACCUACUAAAAAAGGAGGAGAAACUCUUGGGGUCCCCAAGGCUAACCUAAUCCCUAAAACGUCUUUUUAAAAAGACCAAGCCUAAUGUAUUCUUGGCCAUGACGCUUAUUUCUAAAAUGUGAAGGCUAGCCAAAAAUUCAUUCCAGCUGCACUUCAAAACUAUACACGUAUAACUAGGAUUAAAAAUAAGGAAAUGUCAUUUAAUGACUGCAUCUAUUGAAAUAUAAUGUCUUGGAAGAGAAUGUUGUCUGAACUCAGCCAUUUACAAUAGUUAGGAUUUUGAAAAAUCCACAAAAUGAAAAGAACUUUAAAUUGAUUAUUCACAUCAUUAUAAUAAACGUAUAAAAAAAGUGGAGCACUAGUGACUCUACAGAAGUAACAGCCAUUAUGACAGAGCUGCACUGAUAAUGUGCCACUGCAGACAUUCUUAACGUUACUCCACAACAUAACUAGCUGCAGUAAAAGAAAAGUAAAAGAAGAAAUGGUUUGCAGCUAUCCUAUAUCGCAGGCAGAGUGAUAUAAUGUAACAUAUGUUUUAAAAUGAUAAAGACUUGCAAGAAUAAGAUACAGAUUCCAGGAACAGAAAAAUCUUCAUAGAUGCCCAAACAAAGCUAAAUCCUGUAAUAGUUGAAUAAUUGUAGCAUUCUAUAUCUAGAAGUUAAAAAAAAUCCCAAACCAUCCCCUUAGUGGCUCAUCUGGUCAACACUCUGACACACAAAGCCUAGUGCUCUUCCUUCAAACCUAAGAAUUAAUCAGCAUUAUGUAAGAGAUUUUUUAUAACACUCUAAAAAUACAUUGUGAAUUCCUUUCCAGUUUUGGACUAAGAAGCUUUAAAGUAACCCCCCCCCCUUUUAAACAAAAACAGUGGAUCUUCAUUUUUUUUAUAUUAGGAUCUUAAUUUGUCUCAGUAUAUGUGUUUCAAAUCUCAUUAAUUACAAUAUUGGUCCCAUGAGAUGCAAUACUGUUGCAAAGAACAGUGUUUGUACUAAAAACGAUUUGAGCAAGGGCACAAAUAUGUUUUAUGUACAUGUGUAAAUACUUUUUAAAGAGGACUAAUGACACAAAACUUCAUAAGACUGUUUGGAUGUUUUCAUGUUAAUCUAUCUGUUUACUGAACAAACUUUUGUAUCCAUGUGAUGUUUUGUUUGCAUUGUAUUGAUAACACAUAAUACAAGAUGAUAGCACUCUU